Long non-coding RNA from Hevea brasiliensis (rubber tree), 733 nucleotides. RefSeq lists it as uncharacterized. The transcript has 2 exons. Lineage: Eukaryota; Viridiplantae; Streptophyta; Magnoliopsida; Malpighiales; Euphorbiaceae. The record is from RefSeq and is a predicted model, not a curated record.
UAAACCAUGUACUAAAAGCGUCCAAGGUUAUAUGUUUACGUUUUCUAGAUGGGAUGGAAACCCAAACAUGUGUUUAGCAAACUUUUAUUUGUUCGUACCCUCUUAAUCAGUUGCCUGCUGUUAACCCUUUAAUGCCUUUAGACUUCAGGUUAAGCAAAAGGACUAGAUGCUGAUGCUGAUGCUGACUCCCCUCUACGCCAUCGUACAUUUCUUGCCCAUAUUUUCUAUAAUCGAGACAAGACUAGUGAACUAUUAACUCCGUGACUAUGCUCCACAAGAAGCUUGUUGCAAACUCUUGCUAUCUUCACUCUUUUCGUGGUUUCUCCAUGACAUACAGUUCCCAGGAGAAACGUGGCACAUGAGGGAAUCAAGCCCUAGGGUAAGAGCAGCAGCUACAUCUGGCACUGUGUACUCAGAUCUUCUGAUAGCAAGACUCCACAGUUCAAUGAGUCUAUCUUCCAUUCCAACUGCUAAGAAACCCCUGGUUUCUUUUGAUGAUCAAUUGCAACCCAAGAAAAAGGCAGUAACACUGCUUCUAAAUUGUGGCAAGGUCGUCAACUGUUUAACUGAAGAUUCUCUCUCUAUGGCCCAGAUUUCCACUGUCUUAUCCCUUUGAGCCAGUUGCAAAUUCAUGACCAUAUAAUUCUUUCGUGCACCUCCUGUCUUGCUAGAAGCUGAUAACCAACCUCAUCCACUCCUAUAAAAUAUUGAAAAAAAAAAAAGAAAAGAAAAA